Molecule: ribosomal RNA, 373 nt
Filed under: Escherichia coli
Lineage: Bacteria; Pseudomonadati; Pseudomonadota; Gammaproteobacteria; Enterobacterales; Enterobacteriaceae
Description: partial 23S ribosomal RNA
Rfam family: Bacterial large subunit ribosomal RNA
Source: RNAcentral
GGGUUGUGAGGUUAAGCGACUAAGCGUACACGGUGGAUGCCCUGGCAGUCAGAGGCGAUGAAGGACGUGCUAAUCUGCGAUAAGCGUCGGUGAGGUGAUAUGAACCGUUAUAACCGGCGAUUUCCGAAUGGGGAAACCCAGUGUGUUUCGACACACUAUCAUUAACUGAAUCCAUAGGUUAAUGAGGCGAACCGGGGGAACUGAAACAUCUAAGUACCCCGAGGAAAAGAAAUCAACCGAGAUUCCCCCAGUAGCGGCGAGCGAACGGGGAGGAGCCCAGAGCCUGAAUCAGUGUGUGUGUUAGUGGAAGCGUCUGGAAAGGCGUGCGAUACAGGGUGACAGCCCCGUACACAAAAAUGCACAUAUUGUGAGC